UGUGGCGAGUGAAAGGUGUAUGGUGAUGAUGGUGAUAACAAUGGUGAAAGUCUAAUUCUACUUUUGCUCUUUUAAGAGGAUACAUACCUUUCUUGCACUUUGAAGCCUUUUUUAGGAGAAUGAGAUGCUCUAUAUAUUUUUUUUUCUUUUCUCUCAGGUGGGUAUCUUGUACCCCUAAUUCUACUAUCGGAAAAAUAGAAAUAGGAGAAUGUUUUUGGCUAUUCUCUACCGGAUUAGGAGUAGAAUACUUUUGGGUGGCUCUAGAGAUGGAAAUGAGUGGAUAUAUGUGGAUGCAUACUUCCAGAGUAGAGGCAACAUGUGUGAGUAAACGUGCAAGUGAAUCUUCAUUUUAACCACAUGACAAGCUCCUAAGGGUCUACAUAGUUUGACCACACUUAAUGCUUAUAAGCAGUAAAAAGUAAAUGUAUGGU
RNAcentral lists this long non-coding RNA (431 nucleotides) under Sorghum bicolor (sorghum). Its description in RNAcentral is "long non-coding RNA (SBIC_LNC012341)". Lineage: Eukaryota; Viridiplantae; Streptophyta; Magnoliopsida; Poales; Poaceae. The record is from RNAcentral.